Molecule: ribosomal RNA, 483 nt
Filed under: uncultured bacterium
Lineage: Bacteria
Description: partial 16S ribosomal RNA
Rfam family: Bacterial small subunit ribosomal RNA
Source: RNAcentral
UUGAACGCUGGCGGCAGGCCUAACACAUGCAAGUCGAGCGGAUGAAGGGAGCUUGCUCCUGGAUUCAGCGGCGGACGGGUGAGUAAUGCCUAGGAAUCUGCCUGGUAGUGGGGGAUAACGUCCGGAAACGGGCGCCAAUACCGCAUACGUCCUGAGGGAGAAAGUGGGGGAUCUUCGGACCUCACGCUAUCAGAUGAGCCUAGGUCGGAUUAGCUAGUUGGUGGGGUAAAGGCCUACCAAGGCGACGAUCCGUAACUGGUCUGAGAGGAUGAUCAGUCACACUGGAACUGAGACACGGUCCAGACUCCUACGGGAGGCAGCAGUGGGGAAUAUUGGACAAUGGGCGAAAGCCUGAUCCAGCCAUGCCGCGUGUGUGAAGAAGGUCUUCGGAUUGUAAAGCACUUUAAGUUGGGAGGAAGGGCAGUAAGUUAAUACCUUGCUGUUUUGACGUUACCAACAGAAUAAGCACCGGCUAACUUCGUG